This 2946-nucleotide ribosomal RNA is filed under the name Chloroflexaceae bacterium. RNAcentral's name for it is "23S ribosomal RNA". It matches the Rfam family "Bacterial large subunit ribosomal RNA". The record is from RNAcentral. Lineage: Bacteria; Bacillati; Chloroflexota; Chloroflexia; Chloroflexales; Chloroflexaceae.
GAAGACAGAACCAGCACACGGUGGAUGCCCAGGCGCUUCGUGCCGAUGAAGGACGUGGCAUCGCAGCGAAAUGCGCGGGGGAGUGGCGAGCGCACGGUGAUCCCGCGAUGUCCGAAUGGGGCAACCCGUCAGGCCAAAGCCUGACACCACCACCGGUUGGAGGGAACCAGGCGAACUGAAACAUCUCAGUAGCCUGAGGAAGAGCGAACGACCCCCGUAGUAGUGGCGAACGAACCGGGGUCACGCCCAAACCGUGACCGUGCCAAGCAGCCAGGCCUUGCGGUCACGGGGUUGGAGGACCCAAUUUGGGAGUACUGGCUUGCUCCCACGGCGCAUCUCAGGGUGCUGUCAAGGCGUUUGGAAAACGCCGCCAGAGAGCGUGACAGCCGCGUCGCACCACCCUGAGCUGACCGCGUUGGGUUCCUGAGUAGGGCCGGACACGGGAAAUCUGGCCUGAAGCUGGGAGGACCACCUUCCAAGGCAACUUACACGAAGCGACCGAUAGCGCAGAGUACCGUGAGGGAACGGUGAAAAGAACCCCGGCGAGGGGAGUGAAAGAGAACCUGAAACCGUGUGCUGACAUGCCGUCGGAGGGUUAGACCAUCGUACGAUGGUGGCCUGACGGCGUUCCUUUUGGAGUAUGAUCCGUCGAGUUACCCCCCAUGGCUGGUUAAGGCAGUGACAGCCGGAGCCGAAGUGAAAGCGAGCGUGCAAGGCGCGUUUGGUCGUGGAGGGUAGACCCGAAACCGUGUGAGCUACCCAUGGUCAGGCUGAAGCGUCCCUAACAGGACGUGGAGGGCCGCACCGGUGUCUGUUGCAAAAGGCUCGGAUGAACUGUGGGUAGGGGUGAAAUGCCAAUCGAACACGGAGAUAGCUGGUUCUCCCCGAAAUGCAUUGAGGUGCAGCCGCGGGGAAGGGCUUCGGGAGGUAGAGCACUGUUGCUGUGCGGGGGCUUCACCGCUUACCAAAUGGCGGCAAACUGCGAAUGCCCGAAGCUGUGACCGCGAGUGAGACGGCGAGUGCGAACAUCCGUUGUCAAGAGGGAAACAACCCAGACCUGCUGCUAAGGUCCCCAAGUUGAUGCUGAGUGGGAAAGGUUGUGUGGCCGCCCAGACAGCCAGGAGGUUGGCUUAGAAGCAGCCAUCCUUGAAAGAGUGCGUAACAGCUCACUGGUCGAGUAGCCAUGCGCCGAUGCUGGAACGGGGCAAAGCAUCGCACCGAAGCACAGGACGGUCGGAAGACCGUGGUAGGGGAGCGUCGUCCCGGCGACGAAGCCACAGCGGAAGCCGUGGUGGAGCGGGGACGAGUGCGAAUGACGGAAUGAGUAACAGAGAAGGGGGGUGAGAACCCCCCCCACCGAAAGUCUGAGGGUUCCGCCGCAAGGGUGAUCCGCGGCGGGUUAGUCGGGCCUAAGGCACAGGCGAGAGCCGCAGCCGAUGGACAACAGGUCAUACAUUCCUGUACCACCCGUUACCGUUUGACUGACGCAGGAUACUGAGGGGCAGGUUCCGCGGCGAGACGUGCGCCGUCCAAGCUGGUAGGGAGCCGGGGGAGGCAAAUCCCCUCCGGCGAUGACCGAGAGGCGAUGGGGAGGAGACCCCGCGAGGGGUCGUCCGACGGGAUUGCGCCUGAGCAGUCGAGAAAGGCCUGCUAGGGAGGGAACGUGGUGCCCGUACCGCAAACCGACACAGGUAGACUGGUUGAGGAAACCAAGGUGGACGAGUGAUCCCUGGUUAAGGAACUCGGCAAAUUGCCCCCGUACCUUCGGAAGAAGGGGUGCUGCGAACGGGUGAAGCCGCACGCCGGUGGAGCUCGGGGCAGCCGCAGGGGAAGGCCCAGGCGACUGGAUACCAGAACCACAGCUCGCUGCUGAAGCCGCAAGGCGACGUAUAGCGGGUGAUGCCUGCCCAGUGCUGGAAGGUUAAGGGGAGGAGUUCACGCUCCGAACCGAAGCCCCAGUGAACGGCGGCUGUAACUAUAACAGUCCUAAGGUAGCGAAAUUCCUUGUCGGGUAAGUUCCGACCCGCACGAAAGGCAUCACGAUCUGGGCACUGUCUCGACCAGGGGCUCGGUGAAAUUGCAGUGACGGUGAAGAUGCCGUCAACCCAUAGCAGGACAAAAAGACCCCGUGGAGCUUUACUACAACUUGCCAUCGGGUCAGGGCGUAGGAUGCGUAGGAUAGGUGGGAGGCGGAGAAGGCUGGCUUGCGGGCUGGCUGGAGCCGCUGGUGAAAUACCACUCUUCGUGCGCUUUGAUCCUCACCCGCGUGAGCGGGGACGGUGGCUGGUGGGUAGUUUGACUGGGGCGGUCGCCUCCCAAAAGGUAACGGAGGCGCGCAAAGGUUCCCUCAGGUGGGAUGGCAACCCACCCGUGAGUGUAACGGCAACAGGGAGCUUGACUGCAAGACGUACACGUCGCGCAGGCACGAAAGUGGGCCGUAGUGAUCCCACGGUACCGAGUGGAAGGGCCGUGGCUUAACGGACAAAAGCUACCCCGGGGAUAACAGGCUCAGACCCCCCAAGAGUUCACAUCGACGGGGGAGCGUGGCACCUCGAUGUCGGCUCGUCGUAUCCUGGGGCUGGAGUAGGUCCCAAGGGUUGGGCUGUUCGCCCAUUAAAACGGCACGCGAGCUGGGUUCAGAACGUCGUGAGACAGUUCGGUCUCUAUCCGCUAUGGGCGCUUAGAGCAUUGCGAGGGGCUGACCCUAGUACGAGAGGACCGGGUUGGACGAACCGCUGGUGGAGGAGUUGUGGGACGACCCGCAGGCUCCGUAGCUAUGUUCGGAAGCACGAACCGCUGAAAGCAUCUAAGUGGGAAGUGUGCCUCAAGAUAAGUGCUCUCACUGCUACAGGCAGGUAAGACUCCCAGGAGAAGACUGGGGUAGGCGAAUCGCGCUGGAGGCGCCGCGAGGCGUAGAGGCGACGAUGGCGCAGAGUCGAGGGCUUC